RNAcentral lists this ribosomal RNA (433 nucleotides) under uncultured bacterium. RNAcentral describes it as "partial 16S ribosomal RNA". It matches the Rfam family "Bacterial small subunit ribosomal RNA", at positions 29 to 507 of the family's 1533-position model. The record is from RNAcentral.
AACGAACGCUGGCGGCAUGCCUAACACAUGCAAGUCGAACGAACCCUUCGGGGUUAGUGGCGCACGGGCGCGUAACGCGUGGGAAUCUGCCCUUUGCUUCGGAAUAACUCAGGGAAACUUGUGCUAAUACCGGGUGAUGUCUUCGGACCAAAGAUUUAUCGGCAAGGGAUGAGCCCGCGUAGGAUUAGGUAGUUGGUGGGGUAAAGGCCUACCAAGCCGACGAUCCUUAGCUGGUCUGAGAGGAUGAUCAGCCACACUGGGACUGAGACACGGCCCAGACUCCUACGGGAAGCAGCAGUGGGGAAUAUUGGACAAUGGGCGCAAGCCUGAUCCAGCAAUGCCGCGUGAGUGAUGAAGGCCCUCGGGUCGUAAAGCUCUUUUACCAGGGAUGAUAAUGACAGUACCUGGAGAAUAAGCUCCGGCUAACUCCGUG